This 468-nucleotide ribosomal RNA is filed under the name Acinetobacter baumannii. RNAcentral's name for it is "bacterial SSU rRNA". The stretch from base 11 to 371 matches the Rfam family "Bacterial small subunit ribosomal RNA", at positions 39 to 400 of the family's 1533-position model. The record is from RNAcentral. Lineage: Bacteria; Pseudomonadati; Pseudomonadota; Gammaproteobacteria; Moraxellales; Moraxellaceae.
UGAACGCUGUGCGGCAGGCUUAACACAUGCAAGUCGAGCGGGGGAAGGUAGCUUGCUACCGGACCUAGCGGCGGACGGGUGAGUAAUGCUUAGGAAUCUGCCUAUUAGUGGGGGACAACAUCUCGAAAAGGGAUGCUAAUACCGCAUACGUCCUACGGGAGAAAGCAGGGGAUCUUCGGACCUUGCGCUAAUAGAUGAGCCUAAAGUCGGAUUAGCUAGUUGGUGGGGUAAAGGCCUACCAAGGCGACGAUCUGUAGCGGUCUGAGAGGAUGAUCCGCCACACUGGGGACUGAGACACGGCCCAAGACUCCUACGGGAGGGCAGCAAGUGGGGAAUAUUGGCAAUGGGGGGAACCUGAUCAACCAUGCCGCNUUUUUAAGAAGCUUAUGGUUGUAAGCACUUUAGCNAGAGGAGGUACUUAGUUAUACUAAAAUAGUGGCCUUACCCAAUAAACCGGUACUUCACCGG